RNAcentral lists this long non-coding RNA (199 nucleotides) under Hordeum vulgare. Its description in RNAcentral is "long non-coding RNA (HVUL_LNC009975)". Lineage: Eukaryota; Viridiplantae; Streptophyta; Magnoliopsida; Poales; Poaceae. The record is from RNAcentral.
CUAAGUUGGUUUUCGUAAUUAAUAAAAAUAUAUGUGUCAUUGAACUAAUGAUCUUAGCCAAUUAUAUUUCAAAAAAAUGCAAACAUGUAUUGGCUAAGGAUUGUGAGGAGAACCCCUUCAUACAAGGAAAGGAAUAGGAUUGGCCAAACUUCAAGCUAUAAGAGUCCACAUUUUAUAUUUGUGAGGAAUCACAUUUGAG